Molecule: long non-coding RNA, 2924 nt
Organism: Brienomyrus brachyistius
Lineage: Eukaryota; Metazoa; Chordata; Actinopteri; Osteoglossiformes; Mormyridae
Exons: 3
Source: RefSeq, a predicted model, not a curated record
CACCCAGUACUGGGAUGCCUGGAACCUGUGUGACGAGGUGAUCGACUGGGGAGACGGUGUGGAGGAGUGCUCACGAGCGACACCCCCACUGUCCAGGUUGGGGGGGAUAAGGAGGGAUUGGGAAGGGCUACUUGGGAAAAUGUGGAGGUAUCAGAAAGGGGCCUCCAAUGGUGAGAUGGAGGGGGCGGAGGCUGGUAUGAAUGGAAUGCAUAUGGUAAAUGGAGGUGAGGAGAAUGGAUGUGAGGUAGGAGUGAAUGUGGAGGAGGUUAAGGGAGAAGGAGAGAAAAGUAGAGGGAAUGCUUUGGGAUCUAUUGUGUCUCAAGGAGGCAGAUCAUGGCUGGAAACCAUUCAGGAAGAAGGAUGUGAGGAAGAAGAAGAAACUGAGGUGGCGUUUCAGGAGGCACAAGACGCUGAGGUUGCCCAGUUGGACAGAUGGUGUCCAUGUGGCUGGUGUAAGGUGGGGUAGGAGGCUUCUGAACCAUGUGUUAGGCCUAGUGCACUUAUGGAUUGUGCUUGUUUGUUAUAAUGAAAUAAGCUUAUAAACUAAACAUAAUAUAUUUUAAAGGUACGUGUUUAUAUCAGUGUAAAAAGGGAAGGGGUUUCUCUAUGACUUGGGUUGGUAGUAGCAUUUGGGGGGUCAAGGAGUCCGAUGUUAGUGGUUUAUGGUAGUGUAUUGUGUGUUGAAGUUUAUUGAAUUGGCGGACUACACAUCCCAUCAUCCCCUGCGCACCACAAAAUAAUAGUCCAUGCUUAGUGUGCUGUUUGGUUUAUUUCUUUCUUUAUUCAAGGCAAUAACUUAGAGCUGUGAGGUACCCACUGUUCUAGUUUUAUCCAUCGGCCAUGGUAAAGGGAGAACUUGGGUAAAUCAGCAGAAGUCUCUCACCAACUUCCACCCCGGUUGCUGUUUCCUCUGGUCCCUCGGCAUAUGGGUUCCCUGCGGAAGCGCGCGCCGUCUGGGGAAGGUUCCCUUAUAGCCCAGGGUGGAACAGGGGAAGGUGAAGGUUUGGCACAAAAGGGGGGGGGGGAAAUAGGUGAGAAAGGUUGUUUGUUCUUGCUUUUGUUGUGUGAGGUGGGAUGUUCUGUGUGAAAGAGCAGGGGACGGUAAUGCUUAAGGGCCAGCUAUUAUGAUGUGUUCCAUGUUAAAUGUAUGUGUUGUAAUAUAUGUUGUUAGUACAUGAAACUCCAACUGGUUUCCCCUUGUCGUUGGGCUGUCCCAAUUAGUUUAAUGGGAAGCCGUAUAUAAGGGCAGGGGAUUAGAGUAAAAAGGGUGGUUGGUGGUCUUUCUUUUGGUCUAAUUGUUGUUUGUUUUUUAUUUAUUUAUUUAUUUUUUUGUUGUUUUUGUCAUGCUGUGGCCUGUGUGGAUUAUAGGCAUGUCAAGGCCAAGAGAGAGGGGUAACAGCUUGAGGUGAGGCUGGAAAGGCCCCAUGAAAUAAAGCUACCUUUGUUCUGAGGCCUACUGCGUUUGUGCCUGGUUUCUCCCCACUCGCAUGCGGGGUUGUUUGCAUUCCCUCAACUCAAUAAGGCAGGGCCUGUCCAGCUCUUGCCUUUUUCACAUUCAGUAUCUACAUGUAAAGGGAGCAGACACAGGAAAAAGGUAUUGAAGACCCUUGAUAUGAUAUUGCUGUUUUUGUUUUAGAUUCCAAAGUUAACCCUUUAAUUUAUCCCUUUUCCCCAAGUAAAACGCUGCAUUUACUUUACAUUUUGCUUUGGAGUCGGAAGUUCCAAAAUCACCAGGAGAGCUCCUCAGGCAUCUCCAGCCUGCAAUUCCUGGGAAAUGCCACCUGCCACCCAUCCUUGGAAGCGUCGCCCAUUCUCAGGAUCUCAUACGUCACCAUUCAUCACAGAGUCACAGCGCUUGCAGACAUCUGGAUAAAAGGAAAAGCCCAUUUUUUUAAAACUUACACGUUAAAUUUUCCUCUAAUUACCAUUUUAUUCUUUUAAAUUUCAUUAUGUUUAAUUACAUUUAGUAUGGAUUAAGGCAUCACCAGCCUGGCAUCAGACUCUCCGGACAAUGCCAGCCCAGAGGGGGCUGACCUGGAGGACAUUCCCCCGGAGGACAUGGAGUGGGAGCCUCCAGGUCUUGACCUGAGUCCCACUCCGUGGUGUCAGCCCCGUGGCCAAAGUUUCCCCAGCCGAGGAGGCUAUCGCCGCGACAACGGCAGGGUCAACAGAAAUCCAGUCGUGGGCUCAGCUCCGGGAGGAAAAAACGAGGGUAUGCUACCCAGACCUGCCUCCUGAUCCAGGCUUGGUCCAAGAUGGUCUUUCAGGGGUCCCUGGUUUGGUCCAGUUCCUGUCCUGCCUGCCCCUCGACACCCUCCGACUCUGCCAACCCCUCGCCGUCUACCGAUGCUGUUCUUCCCUCGGCUGCCGCAGACGAGUACAGCUUCUACAGACCCAGACAGGAUUCCAAAGGCCCCCCUGGCCGUGACCCUUCUGCGGCACCCCGGAGCCCAUCAGAGGCCCUGAACUGUUCACUUUACCUCCCAUGCUACCUAGUGUCUUGCCCCUCCUAAUACCUCAGUCUUUGGUCUGUAGUCUUGCUUCCCCGUGGCUCUCCCUGGUUUCACCUCUUAGCCCGAUUUCACUGUUCCAGCCCCCACUCCAGUCACUCUUGCUUCCCGCUUUAGGUUCCCCUCUCCUGGCCAUAUUAUUGUUGCACUGGUUCCAUUACUUGCCUGUCUUGUCUGGUUGUGUCCUGCCUUGUCUGUCCCUGUGCCGUCUUUGGUCCUUUUGAUGCCCAAUCCCUCCCUUUUGUCUCCUUCUUCUGUUUCCUUUGUUCCCACUUACCCACUGACACCCACUGUCUGUCUUUUGGUCCAUAGUCAGCAUCCCUGUUGGAUUACCUGGCCUGUCAUGAGUUGUGUCCUGGGGGUUAGUCUCCCCUGUUGUCCUUGGUUUUGCCCUGGUCUGUGUGUCCCCUUAAU